AAAACGUAGGGGACAAGCGUUAUCCGGAUUUACUGGGCGUAAAGCGCCCGUAGGCGGCUUUUUAAGUUGGACGUGAAAGCUCCCGGCUUAACUGGGAGAGGCCGUUCAAAACUGAGAAGCUCGAGUGAGGAAGAGGAGAGCAGAAUUCCCGGUGUAGUGGUGGAAUGCGUAGAGAUCGGGAGGAAUACCAGUGGCGAAAGCGGCUCUCUGGUCCUAAACUGACGCUGAGGGGCGAAAGCGUGGGGAGCGAACAGG
This 255-nucleotide ribosomal RNA is filed under the name uncultured prokaryote. RNAcentral's name for it is "partial 16S ribosomal RNA". It matches the Rfam family "Bacterial small subunit ribosomal RNA", at positions 522 to 776 of the family's 1533-position model. The record is from RNAcentral.